UAGAUCCAAUUGGUAAGAUAUAAUUGCCC
RNAcentral lists this non-coding RNA (29 nucleotides) under Rattus norvegicus (Norway rat). Lineage: Eukaryota; Metazoa; Chordata; Mammalia; Rodentia; Muridae. The record is from RNAcentral.